RNAcentral lists this ribosomal RNA (375 nucleotides) under Escherichia coli. RNAcentral describes it as "bacterial LSU rRNA". It matches the Rfam family "Bacterial large subunit ribosomal RNA", at positions 2568 to 2925 of the family's 2925-position model. The record is from RNAcentral. Lineage: Bacteria; Pseudomonadati; Pseudomonadota; Gammaproteobacteria; Enterobacterales; Enterobacteriaceae.
AGGGUAUGGCUGUUCGCCAUUUAAAGUGGUACGCGAGCUGGGUUUAGAACGUCGUGAGACAGUUCGGUCCCUAUCUGCCGUGGGCGCUGGAGAACUGAGGGGGGCUGCUCCUAGUACGAGAGGACCGGAGUGGACGCAUCACUGGUGUUCGGGUUGUCAUGCCAAUGGCACUGCCCGGUAGCUAAAUGCGGAAGAGAUAAGUGCUGAAAGCAUCUAAGCACGAAACUUGCCCCGAGAUGAGUUCUCCCUGACUCCUUGAGAGUCCUGAAGGAACGUUGAAGACGACGACGUUGAUAGGCCGGGUGUGUAAGCGCAGCGAUGCGUUGAGCUAACCGGUACUAAUGAACCGUGAGGCUUAACCUUACAACGCCGAAG